RNAcentral lists this long non-coding RNA (4953 nucleotides) under Homo sapiens (human). RNAcentral describes it as "HSALNT0223234". Lineage: Eukaryota; Metazoa; Chordata; Mammalia; Primates; Hominidae. The record is from RNAcentral.
UUGACAAGGGCGCUCUUCACCUCCCGGGCCUCUGACCAGCCCACAUGGAGGCAGAAGGCAGGGCUCCUGUCCCAGCAGGCAGUUCUGAGCCAGGAACCAGGUACUGCCUUUACCUGAUGAUGUUGGCUGCAGCCUUCCGCUCCUGGGUCAGGAGCUCCGGGUCGUGCAUGACUUCUUCCAGGAAGCCGAUCACCUUGCAUUUGAGCUCAUCGUUGGUCUCAAAGUCCUGCCGGGAAGGUGUGAUGGGUGGCUCUGGUUACUGUUUUUGAGCUGCUCUGCAGUGGUCUGGGCCCAGGCCAGAGGAAGGAGCUCCAGUUUCUAUUCUGCCCAGGGCAGGCUGACCUGCCUCAUUUCCUUUCUGUUGGCUUCCUGGCAGGGCAUGAGAGGCUCUCCAGGCCUAGAGAAUCUUAGAUAAAGGCACUGGAACCAGAUCAAAGCCCAUCUUUCAGCUGGCUGCACCCCUGGGCCAGGGAGGCACAAACCUACCUGUACCCCUGCUACAGGCAGGGUGGAUAGACAGAGACCCAUUGUCCCUUCCAUGUCCUUUGUUCCCUCCUAGGGAAUCUGAGCAGUCCUCCGGGAACAUCAGGGUGGCACAUUUGAGCUCCCUCCCUUCUGCUGCCCCACUGCCAGCCAUCAGCUCACUCUGCCCGCAGCUGCUUUUGGAAGGCAGCUGGUUCCUGGGGCCAUUGCCUGGUGGUCCCCAGCAGCCUGCCCAGGGAGGGCUCCCACCCACCUGAGAGUGCUUGGACACCCAGUGGCGGAGCACGUUCAAGACACGAUUGGUGGCUGCUCUGCGGAUCACAAACUCCUUGUCUCCAUUCCUCUGGUCUGGGGGAAACCCUGGCAGCAUGCGUGGCAGAGGGGAGAGAGGACAGGAAGCACUGUCCUUUGGUGACGGUGGGACCCUGUGCUUCCAGGAGCGGGGCUAAGAGGUGAGAGCACCCUCCACACCCCAGGAUCCUGGCAGGUGGAGAUGGAAGCAGCUGAGACUGAGCAGUAGCACCAGGCAGGGAGAGUGCCCCCACCUUGAGUCUACCUGCUCUUGAGGCCACAUGUUGGGGCAGGGCCUCAGCCCCAGGAGCCUGGCAGGUGGAAGGAGACUUUUCAGUUUUGGGUUGCUGGUGGCUGACCUGAGACGCUGACCGCUACAUCCAUCCACAGAGCUGCUGCGGGAAGGCCUGGAUGCAUCAUGUUAGGGGCUGGUGGGAGUACUCGGGACACGUGGGGCGUAUACCUUUGUCUUGCAAACCCAAAAUCAGGAUGCUCUUGACUCAGUCUGAGAGCAGGGAACUGUGCCAGAAACUCAGCACGUUUUGGGAGACAUAUGGAAGGAAUACCCCCCACUUCCCACCUAUCACCCCUGCACCUUUCUCCAGCUAGGCUAUCCGCUCCCCAUUCUCCCCAUAAGAGUGGCUGGCAGUGGGGAGCCUGCCACUCCCCUGGGUUUGGCCCUAUCACCUACAGAAUAAAGCCCCACUCCUUGCCGGUCGCGUUACCGUGAUCUGACCCUUGCCCACCGCCAGCCCCAUCUUUCACUAUGUCAUGUGGAUCGCUGUAUUAUUUAAGAAAGUCAAAUUGGGCCAUAAAAAUAAGAGAAUUAAAUAAGGAAGACAGAUGAAGCUAAGUACAGAAGAUUUAUACUAGACACAGUAUACCAAGGAGAGCACCUACAUGCUGAACAUAGGAAGGGACAGAGGGACCAAUGGCACUAAAUAGCCAAAUAUUGAUGCUAUGCUUAAUAUUCAUGAGGCAUAUGGAACAUUCAAUAUUUAUUAGGUCUUAAGUCAGCCACCCAUUGGCAAUGGCUAUUCUGACCCUCUGUGUCCCCUGCCCAAGAAAUGCAGAGAAAGGUGUAGCUGUUCUCCAGGUGAACUGACGGCUACAGCUGUGGCCAGGCACUCGUCCCUAUACCAGAGAGAGGGCAAUUCUGUGCCAUUGGCCCAAGUGCUUUCCAUUGCAUGGGCUCCUUGGUUCAAACUUCACUCCAUCAGCAGUGAAGGCUGAUGUGGCAGGGAGAGAGGUGGCACAAAGAAACACUGUGUCAGCAGGAUGCAGGCAGUGUGGUCCUCCCAUCUGCACACACACUAGCCUAACCAGCUAUCUCAUCGCCUUUCCCUGGUGUCUUGCUAUGUGUUUGUAAUUGAUACACUAUUAGCCAGGUGUGGUGGUGCACGCCUGUAGUCCCAGCUACUUGGGAGGCUGAGGUGGGAGGAACACUUGAGCCCAGGAAGUAGAGGCUGCAGUGAGCCGAGAUCACACGACUGCACUCCAGCCUGGGUGACAGAGCGAGACCCUGUCUCAAAGAAAAAAAAAAAAAAUUGAUACAUUAGAUGCCGUAAUGAAGCAUCUUAACUUAGCCUAUGAAUCUGUUCCAAAGCCUCUAGAAUAGUUUGUCUGGUAGUGUACCUGGAGGCCACAAUUGCAUCAAGGUCAUUGCCUGCAUGACAUCACUCUCCUCGACCCUGCACUCUCCCCAAACACCGUGCACUUUUUUGCCUCCGAACCUAUGUUCAUGCUGUUCCCUCUUCCCAGAAUGCCCUUCCCCCUCAGUCGUCUAGCAAACUCCAACUGGUCCUUCGAGGCCAGCUCUAAUGUCCCAUUCCAUAAGAAACCAUCCUCAACUGUGCCAGGUAGAUCUAUCACUCAUCUUCUGGACCUCGCCUGGAUUACACAGAUUCCAUUUUACAGCAUGCACUACACUGCUUUCUAAUAAUCUCUCUAUGUCUCUCUCUCUCUCACUAAACGAUGAAUUUCCCGAGGACGGAGACCCCACCUGCUCAUUUCUGCUUCCCUGGUCCCCUCCCUGGUCCUCCUGUGAAGAAAACCAGGCUUUAGAUUGGUAAGCAGAUGGGUCCUUGAAGUUGUAAGUUUAAUCUGGACAUUCCAUUCACUUUAUCACCAUCAUUAUUCAAAAUUUUGUUAUUUUUUUCUUUCAUAGGUGAUUUUAAUUUUAUUUUUGUUUCAUCCGCACUCUCUCUUUUUUUUGAGACAGAGUUUCACUCUGUCACCCAGGCUGGAGUGCAGUGGUGAGGUCUCGGCUCACUGCAACCUCUGCCUCCUAGGCUCAAGUGAUGCUCUCGCCUCAGCCUUCUGAGUAGCUGGGAUUACAGGCGCAUGCCACCAGGCCUGGCUAAUUUUUGUAUUUUUAGUAGAGACGAGGUUUCACCAUGUUGGUCAGGCUGGUCUUGGACUCCUGACCUUAAGUGAUCCACCCACCUCGGCCUCCCAAAGUUCAUCUGCUCCUUUUGCUGUCUCAAUGGGCACCCUUUCCAGAGCAUGAGUGGGUACUCACUAAACAUAUAAUGGUAAUUGAGUGGGUACUCACUAAACAUAUAAUGGUAAUUCCAGCUGUGAGUUUUAUUGGAUUAUUGAAACGGAUCUAGGAAGUAGGUAGGUAGGUAUUAUCAUGUCCCCCAUUUACAACGUGAGAAACCCAAGCUCGGAAAGGUUAAGCGACUUGUCCAUAUUCACACACAAAGCUAGGGCUGGGGACCAGGUUUACAUACAAAGCUGGGGCUGGGGACGAGGGUCACACACAAAGCUAGGGCUGGGGACCAGGGCUGUUGCCUUCAAGGCCAGACCUUUCUGCUGUACCCCACCACCUGUUCAGUGAUGUAGUCAUGAGGGGAAUAAUUCCUUAUCAACUUGUGCAGAGGCUUAAAGACCUGGUGGACCUGAAACUGCCUCGGCUAGCUCCUGGCACACAGUAGGUUCAUAAAGGACUCACUUCAUCAGACUUGACUUCAGAGUGGUGGCGAGUGGAAACAAAGGAUUUCACACAUUAAAUCAUAUUCUGCAUUAAACGCAUUACAUCUGCAGUUCCCCAGAGCAUGUAUGUGAAGUAGCAAACAGGCCUGGGUUACCCAGAUGAUUGUUCUGGCAACAGCAACAUGGCCCAGAUGGGAGCAGAGUCCUAGCGUGCACCAGAUGAGCAAGGCAGGCUCAGAAUUCAGAGGUGGGAAUGGAGGCCAGAGAGCCAGUGGGCUCCAGGGUUGGGGCAGGAAGGAGUGUGUGGUGAGGGGGUUAGGCGUGCAGGUGACUGCAAGAGAAUUGUGCCUGGUGCAGGUGAGGGAGGCUGUAUUACCCAGGGCUUGGAGAGCUGCGUUUAGUAGGACAUUGUCUCUGGGGAUUGUUCAAACAAACACAGUGGUCCUGGAGCCUGCGUUUUGGUUUUUCUGGUUUUUGAAAUGUUCUAUAUAUUCAUUUUUUAAUUAGGAAGAGAAAAAUAGUUAUUAAAAAAGAGUACAUAAAGUUUCAUUCCUAAUGUUAUAUUUUAAACAACCUAAUACAGAAAUAAUCCACAUGUACAAAACAGAUGAACCAUAACAAAACUAAGCCAAAGCACCAUAAUAAAAAAAAUUUUUAAAAAUAGAUGUUGGCAUGGAUGUGGUGAAAAGGUAAGACUUCUGUAACCCUUCUACACUGCUGGUGGGAAUGAAAACUAGCACAACCACUAUGGAAAUCAGUGUGGAGAUUCCUUAAAGAAGGAAAAGUGGAACUACCAUUUGAUCCAGCAACCCCACUACUGGGUAUCUACUCAGAGUAAAAGAAGUCAUUACGCAAAAAAGAUCCUUGCUCAUGCAUGUUUAUAGCAGCACAAUUUGCAAAAAUGUGGAACUAACCCAAAUGUCCAUCAAUCAAUGAGUGGAUAAAGAAAUUGUGUUAUAUUUAUAUGAUGGAAUACUACUUGGCCAUAAAAGGGAAUGAAUUAAUGGCAUUCACAGAAACCUGGAUAGGACCGGAGACUAUUAUUCUAAGUGAAAUAACUCAGGGAUGGAAAACCAAACAUUGUAUGUUCUCAUUCAUAAGUGGGACCUAAGAUAUGAGGAUGCAAAGGCAUAAGAAUGACACAGUGGACUUUGGGGACUCAGGGGGAAAGGGUAGGAAGGCGGUGAGGGAUAAAAGACUACAAAUUGGAGCCGGAGGCGGUGGCUCACACCUGUAAUCCCA